GAUGAACGCUGGCGGCGUGCCUAAUACAUGCAAGUCGAGCGAACAGAUAAGGAGCUUGCUCCUUUGACGUUAGCGGCGGACGGGUUAGUAACACGUGGGUAACCUACCUAUAAGACUGGAAUAACUCCGGGAAACCGGGGCUAAUGCCGGAUAACAUUUAGAACCGCAUGGUUCUAAAGUGAAAGAUGGUUUUGCUAUCACUUAUAGAUGGACCCGCGCCGUAUUAGCUAGUUGGUAAGGUAACGGCUUACCAAGGCAACGAUACGUAGCCGACCUGAGAGGGUGAUCGGCCACACUGGAACUGAGACACGGUCCAGACUCCUACGGGAGGCAGCAGUAGGGAAUCUUCCGCAAUGGGCGAAAGCCUGACGGAGCAACGCCGCGUGAGUGAUGAAGGUCUUCGGAUCGUAAAACUCUGUUAUUAGGGAAGAACAAAUGUGUAAGUAACUGUGCACGUCUUGACGGUACCUAAUCAGAAAGCCACGGCUAACUACGUG
Molecule: ribosomal RNA, 497 nt
Filed under: uncultured bacterium
Lineage: Bacteria
Description: partial 16S ribosomal RNA
Rfam family: Bacterial small subunit ribosomal RNA
Source: RNAcentral